UUGAGCGCCUGAGCGCCAAUUGGAUCGAUGUUUACAUGAUGCUAGAAAGGAAUUGGCGCCUAAGCGCUCCUGAUUGAGCGCCUGAGCGCCAAUUACCUCCAGAGAGCUUGUUUUGGCUUGGAAUUGGCGCUCAGGCGUGCUUAAUUGGCGCCUGAGCGCCCAGACUCGACCUGUUUGCCUAUAAAUAGGCUUUUUGUCAUUUCUUUUGUAACUUUUGUCAUUUCUACACAUUCCUAAAUAAGUUAGAAGUAGGGUUAGGCUCUGGAGCUUGAGGAGAAGCAUUCUCCAAGUUCAUGUUCCAGGUUUUAUCCUUCUUUUCUUGUAUGGAUUCUAUAGCCAUGCUUGGCUAAAACCCCUUUUGCUUUGGGUUCUUUGUAAGACUUUGAAUGUUUUAGCUAUCAAUCCUUUUCUAUUCAUGAUGUUCUGAGUAAACCCUUGAAUCUCACUUCUAUGCUUUAUCUUUCAAGCUUGAAUGCAUAAUAGCUUGUUACUUUUCUAUAAUCAUAACGAUAGUUUGUUAUAGAAUUGGGACUUGUUGUGAGAUUACUCCUUCUAUACUUGCUACUAGGAAUAGAGGAAGGGUUGGGGUUUGUUGGCCUGAUUUGUAUGCUUAGUGCUUCUAGCAAAUGUUUAGGUUAUCAAGGAAUUGAACCUAUCUUUUGAUUAGGAAGGGUUUUCUUUGCGAGGCAUCGAAAGAUAACUAACUAGGCUAGAACAUCAAGGAGAGACUCCGGAUUAAUUGAAUAGGAAGGUUUGCUAAAACUGAAUUAGUUGAACAAGAACCCAAGGCAAUCUCAUCUCUGUUUUUCAAUCGCUUUAUUACUUGAUUACUUGUCUUUUUACAAACUCAAGAAACAACCAAUUAUUAAAACUGAGUUUUACUUGCUUUUCAACCUUAAACUUGAAUCUUAAACUGAAUUGCCACACCAAUUCCCUGUGGUUCGAUAAUUUAAAACCCGGAGGUAUUCGUACACUUGCGAAUUGACCAACAAGUUUUUGGCGCCGUUGCCGGGGAAUUGUUUGUGGUUUUUGGUUUAAGUUUUUAGUUUAUGGUUUUAUUUUUGUUUUGAACUUGUCUAGAAUUGGUGCUACUAAUCUUUCUCUGUUUAGUAUCAAACUUUCAGGCUACUCUCACAAGAGACACCACCAUGGGUGGCCAUAUGACGGAGGAGGAGAUGCAAGCCCAUAUCGAGGCAAGAAUCCAAGAGGGGAUCACCCUCCGAUUAUGUGAACAAGAAGUUGAGAAUGCCAACCGGUCUCUUCGGGAACUCACUUCGGCUACCAUGAGUUAUGACUAUCCCGGGAGCAUUGUCUUUCCCGAGGGAGUGGGAAACUUUAAGUUGAGACCGGCAUUCAUCAACUUGGUGAGCCAAAACCAAUAUGGUGGAGGUACUUUGGAAGAUCCACAUGCUCACAUGGAGAGGUUCAUCAGGAAUUGCAACACUUACCGUGUGAACAAUGUUCCGGCGGAUGCAAUUCGGUUGAGCUUGUUUCCAUUUUCUUUGAAGGACACCGCUGAGGAAUGGCUGAAUUUUCAACCUCAAGGGAGCUUCACUACUUGGGAAGACUUAGCGGAAAAGUUCACAACAAGGUUCUUCCCAAGAGCCCUUUUGAGGAAAUUGAAGAAAGACAUCAUGAAUUUUGUGCAAACCGCUGAAGAGAAUCUCUAUGAAGCUUGGGAGCGCUUCAAGAAGCUCUUGAAAAAAUGUCCUCAACACAAUCUCACCCAAGCUGAAUUGGUUGCAACAUUUUAUGAUGGUCUACAAUACUCUUGGAGGUUUGGCCUAGAUGCGGCUUCAAAUGGGGAGUUCGAUGCUCGUCCCCCACAAGCGGGGUAUGACUUAAUAGAAAAGAUGGCAGCGAGAGCCAUGAACUCUGAAAAUGAUCGCCAAACCCGAAGGAGUAAGUUUGAAGUGGAAGCUUAUGACAAGCUCUUGGCCUCCAACAAGCAACUCACCGAACAAGUGGCGGAGAUUCGAAAGCAUAUUAAGGAGACCAAGGCUGUUGGUGCAAGAAUGACUUGUGUGGAGUGCAAGUCUUGUGGUGGACCUCAUGUUAGUAACUUGUGCACUGUCAAUGCUGAGAGCAAUGAAGCCAAAGCUAUAGCUCAAGGAAGCAUAGUUCCAUCCUCAAAUCAUGAACCUCUUGUCCAAACACAAGUUGUUGGAAAGGUGAAUUGCAAGAGGAGUUUAGAGGAGCUAUUGGAGAGUUGCAUCAACCGCAUGAACAACAACCAUAAGAACCAAGAGGCGGCUAUCAAGAACUUGGAGAACCAACUUGGCCAGCUAGCCAAGCAAAUUGCCGAAAGGCCUCAAGGUAAAUUUCCUUCCGAUACUUUCCCCAAUCCCAAACAAGAAAAUUCUGCUGUUGUUACUACUAGAAGUGGUAGAGUGUUGAAUGGGUUAGAAAAGAAAGCAGAGGGAGAAAAAAGUGAGAGGAUAGUUGAGGAGGAAAGGAGUGUUCCUAUUAAAACUAGAGUGAUGAAUGAUCCUAUUCCUGAACUUAGCAAAGUUCCAUUUCCUAAAGCAAUGGCUAAAAAGAAUUUGGAUAAAAAGUUUUCAAAAUUUAUGGAUGUUUUUAAGAAACUCCAUAUUGAUAUCCCUUUUUCCGAUGCUUUAGAACAAAUGCCUAUCUAUGCUAAGUUCAUGAAGGACAUUUUAAAUAAGAGGAGGAAGUUGAGUGAGGUUGAUGAAACUAUUAUGAUGACCGAGGAGUGUAGUGCCAUUUUGCAAAGGAAAAUGCCUAAGAAGAGAAGGGAUCCUGGGAGUUUCACUAUCCCAGUGGAGAUUGAGGGGUUAAAUGUUGUUGAAGCCUUGUGUGAUUUGGGAGCGAGCAUCAACUUGAUGCCACUUAGCAUGUUUAGAAGGCUGAACUUAGGAGAGGUCACCCCGACCAUGCUCUCCUUACAAAUGGCGGACCGAUCCCUAAAAACACCUUAUGGGAUCAUUGAAGAUGUUAUGGUGAAGGUGGAUAAGUAUGUGUUCCCUGUGGACUUUGUGGUGCUGGACAUGGAAGAGGAUGCAAAGAUUCCUCUCAUUCUAGGCCGACCCUUCUUAGCCACUGGUAGGGCUAAAAUUGAUGUUGAUAAGGGUCAGCUCAUUCUUAGAGUUGGUGAGGACAAGGUAAGAUUUUCGGUUUUCAAUUCUAAUUUGCAAACUAACAUUAAUGAUGGUUUUGUUUGUGAUAUGAUCAAAAGCUUGUCCAGGUCUUCAAAGGAGACCCCCAAGGUAAGUGAAAAAGAUGUUGAGCUUAAUAAAGUUCUCAUCAAGCUUGUUAGUGAAAACAAGUAUGGGGGGUCUAAAGAUGAGAAUUUCCAAGCCCACACGGCCCGAUUCACUCAAGCUAGUCACCUUGUAAAGAUGGAAGGUGUGACUAGUGAUGAGCUCAUGAUUAAGCUCUUCCCUCACUCCUUGAAAGGGGGAGCAAGGAUUUGGUAUGAUGGUUUAGAUGAUACCCUCUAUUGGGAGGAGUUUUUCCAAAGGUUUUGUGCAAGGUUCCUACCUUGCUCAUGUGGUAAGAAGUGUGAUGGUAAGGAAUUUCCUUCCUAACAUCAAAGGAAGGAGAGUCCACCUAGGACUAUAACUUAGGGCUGCUUGGGAGACAACCCAAGUCUUGUUUUAUUUUGCUUGUUUGUUUAUUGCAUUUUGCAGGGAAUGAGAGCCUGAAUUCUGGAGAAGGAGGUGUAUCUAAGGCCUCCAUGGUAAUUGGUAAAGGAGGUAAACUAUUUCCCUUAGUUUAUAGCUCAUGCAUUUUUGCAUAUUUUUCUUUUGUAGCUUUUAUUUUUCUUUUAAUCAUGCAUUGUAAGUUAGAGUUGUUUUUGGGUCUUUACUUCCCUAUACUCACAUGUUUUUGCCCGUAGUUAUGCUCUCGUACUUGUGCUGGUUUUGAAAAUGUUUUUAUGAAUACUUGUGUUGUCUUUUGGGGAUGAGUGAUUGCAUGCUUUGGGGAAGAGAGGAUGAGACUUUGGUCUUCCGAGUGUUUCUUAAGGAUAGAGUUGGUGUGAGUCCAUAAGGGUCCAUCUUUGACCCUUCACCAUAAAAUUUCCCUGGAGGAUCCUGACUCACUCGUACUUCUUGGUACUGUAUUGAUUUCACUCUUUGCAUGCUUUGUGAUACUUGCACAAUUCUUGAGACUUGUAGGUUUUUGAGCUUCAGAGUUGUUGGUUUGAACAUUGUCCUUAGUUGUCCCAUUUGAGCCUUAUUGGAGAAUUUGUUGUAGCCAAGUGAUUGGGACGGAUGUUUGGUUGGAAUUUGGGGAGUGUUGGUCCUUGCAUUGUUUUGGAGCUAAUUAAAAUUGAAAGUGUCUCUUGCCCCAACUGAAAAAAAAAAGAAAAAAAAAGAAAGAAAAGCACUCCUAAUCAAAGUUAGAGUGUCAAAGAAAAAAGAAAAGAAUGUUGAAAAAGAGGGGUCAAGAGACUUGUGCUUAUUAAGUUUGUUUAUUGAAAGCUCUGGGGUUACAAUUUGGACCACACUCAAUAUGUUUUGAAGCCUAGUCUUCCUUAGGGACCAACCACCUUGUACUUCACCAAGCCAACAUUUCAACCCUUUGAAGUCUCUUUGAAUUUGUGCAUGUUUGAUCUCUGUUGCUCUUGAGUGAAUGAUAUCCAGGACCUAUGGACUACUUGUGUGCUCAGUGCACUUAAUAUAUAUCUCAUCCUAGGAAUUUUAGAUCUAUAUGCUUCUCAUGAUGGACUCUACACUCUCCUUUAUCUAAAAGUUGCAUGAAGUGGAUUGUUGUGUCUUUCUUUUGGAACCAGUUGUGGUUGCUAAAUCCCCCGGUUUUUGUGAUAAGUAUUCCUUGUUGAGAGCACUUGUUUAGGAGCAUUUCUUGCGCUUGAGGGCAAGCGAGUGUUUUUUACGCUCGAGGGCGAGCUGUCGUUGAGUAUAGUGGUGUGAUGACCCUAGUUUAGUAGUGUUUUUAGGAUCAUUUCUUAGUUUGUUUUGAGUCUUUUUGUUGAGUCUCAUGUAGUGUUUCAUGUAUUCUCAUGCAUUUUUAUCUUUAUUUGUGUUUCUACUUUGUUUUGGUAAUUUCAUAGAUUUAUAGGGACCUUUCAUGCAUUUUAAGUAAGUUUAAGACUUGCAUAUCUUUUCUACUUGAAUUGAGGGUCUUUUGUGCUAAUAAACUCUUGGAAAUCAUAGAUAUUUUCCUUGCUUUGUUCCCAAGCAGCUAGUUCUGAAAACUGAUGAAGAAAGAAGGUCAAAAGGCUUGGAAAAUUGAAGGGAGGCUUAAAGGGGAGUUAAGAAGAAGGUCAAGAGGCUUCCUAGCAUGUAGAGAGCGCUCAGGCGCUCGUGUUGAGCGCCUGAGCGCCAAUUGGAUCGAUGUUUACAUGAUGCUAGAAAGGAAUUGGCGCCUGAGCGCUCCUGAUUGAGCGCUUGAGCGCCAAUUACCUCCAGAGAGCUUGUUUUGGCUUGGAAUUGGCACUCAGGCGUGCUUAAUUGGCGCUUGAGCGCCCAGACUCGACCUGUUUGCCUAUAAAUAGGCUUUUUGUCAUUUCUUUUG
RNAcentral lists this long non-coding RNA (5499 nucleotides) under Lotus japonicus. Its description in RNAcentral is "long non-coding RNA (LJAP_LNC000006)". The record is from RNAcentral. Lineage: Eukaryota; Viridiplantae; Streptophyta; Magnoliopsida; Fabales; Fabaceae.